Molecule: ribosomal RNA, 253 nt
Filed under: uncultured bacterium
Lineage: Bacteria
Description: partial 16S ribosomal RNA
Rfam family: Bacterial small subunit ribosomal RNA
Source: RNAcentral
UACGAAGGGGGCUAGCGUUGCUCGGAAUUACUGGGCGUACAGCGCACGUAGGCGGUCUUUUAAGUCGGGGGUGAAAUCCUGGAGCUCAACUCCAGAACUGCCUUCGAUACUGGAAGACUUGAGUCCGGGAGAGGUGAGUGGAACUGCGAGUGUAGAGGUGAAAUUCGUAGAUAUUCGCAAGAACACCAGUGGCGAAGGCGGCUCACUGGCCCGGUACUGACGCUGAGGUGCGAAAGCGUGGGGAGCGAACAGG